CGGACGGGUGAGUAACACGUGAGAAUUCGCCUUUAGCGGGGAAUAACCAUCGGAAACAAUGGCUAAUGCCCCAUAUGCUCGUAAGAGUGAAAGGAGUAAUCCACCCAAAGAGAAGCUCGCGGCUGAUUAGCUAGUUGGUAAGGUAAUGGCUUACCAAGGCGACGAUCAGUAGCUGGUUUGAGAGAACGAUCAGCCACACUGGAACUGAGACACGGUCCAG
RNAcentral lists this ribosomal RNA (220 nucleotides) under uncultured bacterium. RNAcentral's name for it is "partial 16S ribosomal RNA". It matches the Rfam family "Bacterial small subunit ribosomal RNA", at positions 99 to 334 of the family's 1533-position model. The record is from RNAcentral.